This is an RNA transcript of Mytilus californianus (California mussel), 8650 nucleotides long. It is a transcript of the gene named zinc finger protein 271-like, with no coding region annotated. Lineage: Eukaryota; Metazoa; Mollusca; Bivalvia; Mytilida; Mytilidae. The transcript has 4 exons. The record is from RefSeq and is a predicted model, not a curated record.
UCGUGUAUUGUGUUUUCGACCUACUUACAAUUUAUCAAUAUUUCCCCUUUAAUAUGUUUGAACAUAUACAUGCCUAAUAUUUUUUAGAGUCACUAGUAUACUUGUACAUUAAAUAAUUGUAUCUAAAAUAUAUUUCGAUCUUAAAUAUUUUUUUUAUUUCAGUUCAUUAGAUCGAUGGCACCUUUGUUGACAAAAACUAGCGUCUUGUGUUUUCGACCUAUCUAAGAAACGGGUCCAAAGUCGGAAAUGACAUGUCGUACAAAUCCGGAAUUGGUUAUAAUUUGAUGCCAAUGUUUAUAUCAAAUUAUUCAAAGUUUUAGAGGCGAUCAAACUUAUGAUUUAAUGAAUUAAAUGGUGACAUAUACAACUAUAAGAUAUAAAAUAUUAUUUUGAUAUCUUUAUUUGACUAGUUGUACACAUUUCACAUGAGGACCUUGUAUACAGUCAUGUUUCUGUUCAAUAUACUUCAGUGAAGGCAUUAUAAAGUGAGGUUGGUGAGUAUUGUCUGUAAUCUCCCCUGACAGACUGCUGUUUCUGUGAAUUAAAAUUAAUUGAUAUUUUAUUUUUUUCAGCAAAAAACUGUAAGAAUCAUCCACAUUUCCGUAUUAAAAAUAACUUUUAAGUAUAUCACCUAACCACAUGACAGUCAUGUGACGUAAUGACCUUGAUGUUAACUUCACAUGCUAAAAGUCCUCGGCCAUAUUUCUAGAAUAUUUGUUUAUUUUUGAUAGAUUCUUGUGGAAGGUAAAAAAAGUAUUAGUGAAAAGGUACAAAAAUGUGAUAUCAAAUAAAAUAACGUAAAUACUUAAUUAUAAUAACUUUACUUGAAACAUCUUCACCACACGUGGUAUUAUUUGCUAUUGUUACUAAAUAUAGCAGCCAAAUGUGACGUCACACGGGCAUGCGCAGCAUACGGGAAGUGAAAGUAGAAUUAGGUCGAAAACGUACGUAAGACGGUCUAAAACACAAUACGAGACGAUAUGUCUCUGGUAAAAGAAACAUCAGUAUUUGAUUAUUACUGCUAUGAAUGAUAAAGUUCCUGUUUUGAAAAUGAAAAAACAUCAUACGUAUACUAUAUUUUGGGCUACCAAGAAUUGAGUUGAAGUGCUAUAAUGGAAAAGCAAACAGAAAAUCUGGUGAUUGAAAUAAAAACUGAGCCUUCAGAUAACUAUUAUGAUAACAAAAAUGAAAACUGUAAUAUUGGUCACUACAGCAGUCAUGGCAAUAAGCCAUCAGAUAUUGAUAAUUUACAACUUGAAGAAACUUCACUGACUGUCCCUAACAUAAAAACUGGAACAAAACUAGAGGAUGCAGUAGAAGGCAGUCCAUUCAGAUUAAGUGGUAGAGCUUCAUUUUUGUAUCAGAAAUCAUCAGGAGAUCUAAAUUUAAAUAUAUGUGGUAAAGAAAAAGAUACGAAAAAGUCAUCAAAUGAGGUAGAAUGUCCAAAGUUUAUAGAGGAUACUGCUAAAGUUAAAAUGAUAUCAUCAGAACAGGAAGAAAUUGUUAUAGAACAUGUUGAAAAAGGUAUAAUGGACAAGUUGAAAAUUUUGAAAGAAGACAACAAAUCAAAAGAAAGAAAGGCUGACAUGCCUCAAAGUGUUAUAGAUUUUCCAAGAUCAAGCGAGCCUUCAGGGAUAGAAAAUCCAAAUGUAAACUCAAGAGCUUUGCUGCAAUAUGGAUCUGAUUUAACAGAAACCAAAAUAAAAAGACUAGAUGAAAUAAUUUCAGAAGUACGUCAAAAUCUUGAACUUGAUCCAAAAUUUCCAAAAGACCAACUGCCAAAAGCUUCAAAAAUAAGUAUUGAGAUUAAGUCUAGUUCUAAUCAAAGUUUAGAUGAAAGUUAUUCCUCUGAAGAUGAAAAGAGUGAAAAGUUUUCAAAUUUGAAAAAUGUCAUGGAGAAAAUGACAAAAGAAAACCUUCCCAGAAAACCUGGAAAGAAAGGUUCCAUUUGGAGUGACGAUGUGUUUGGACAGCCAGGAGAAAAUCGCUAUAUUUGUCCUUCUUGUGGUAAAGGCUUUUUUUACAUGAGUCACUUGAGAAAACACAGCAUGAUCCAUUCAGAGGUAAAACUGUUUACAUGUCCAACAUGUGGCAAAGGCUUUAACCAGAAGUCUAAUUUAAGGACACAUUUGAGAACACAUGCAGAUGAAAAAAUGUUCACAUGUAAUCAAUGUGAUAAAGGAUUCAAUCACAAUGCAUCUCUACAGAUUCAUAUGAGAUCACAUACUGGUGAAAAACCUUUUGUUUGUAGUGUAUGCAAUAAAGGAUUUAGUCGAAAAAACACUCUUAAAAUACAUGAGACCACACAUACACCUGACAAACCUUAUGUAUGUACUACAUGUGGUAAAACAUUUGGGAGACGUUAUGUCUUACAGAGACAUGUACUAAUACAUGAGGGAGAAAAACCUCACAUAUGUCAAAGAUGUGGACGUGGAUUCAGUCAGAGCGGGGAUUUACAGAAACAUAUUAGAACACACACUGGAGAGAAACCAUAUGUAUGUACUAUAUGUGAACGAGGCUUUGCUCAAAAUGGUGACUUGACAAAGCACAUGAAAACACAUGUAGGAGAUAAAUCUCAUGUUUGUUCUAUUUGCAAGAGAGGAUUUGAUGAGCAUAAUGAAAUGCAAGAACAUAAAGAAAGUCAUUCAGACCAAUUAUUUUUUGCUUGUACUAGGUGUGGCAAGGAAUUCAGUCAAAUCAAAGAAUUAAAAAGUCAUAGGUUAUCACAGGCAUGCAAGACUUUUGAAGCUACAGUUAUAGAUGAUGAUGAUGAUGAUGAUGAUGAUGAUGAUGAUGAUGAUGAUGAUGAUGAUGAUGAAGAUGAUCAUGGUCAUGAUAAUGAUGAUAAAGAUAAAUAUGAAACAAUAAAAAGACAAAUCAGUGAUAAUUAUACAAGUAUUCAACAAGCCUCAAAUGAAAAGUUGUUGUUUGCUUGUGUUAAGUGUGGCAAGGAGUUCAGUCAAAUGGAAGACAUACAAGCACAUAAAAUGUCACAAGAAUGCAGUACUGAUCUAUCAGCCAUAACUCAUAACAGCAGCUGUGACACAUUUGAUGAUGCAAUAAAGCAAGAACCUAUUGAUAUAAUAGAUACGUCUUGUAAUACAUCAGAUAACUCAAUUGGAAAUAAUGAAAAAUUUAAUGAAAAUGAUCCUCAGAAUUAUGUCAAAAAAGGAAAAAACUCUUCAUUACAAGAAGAAGAGAAACAUGUUUGUGCUACUUGUGGAAUGAAAUUUAAUGAGGUAUCAAUGUUACAAGAUCAUUUGAAGCUACAUUCUGAGCUGGAAAAAUUAACAAGUUCAUAUGUAGCUGAGUCAGAAGGGCAAUCAAAUACAGAUGAAGCUGAAAAGCCAUUUAAAUGCCAUUUAUGUGAGAAGUCUUAUCAGGGGAAAAGUUCUCUACAGGCACAUAUCAGAUCCCAUACAGGAGAAAGACCUUUCUCAUGUCAGACAUGUGGCAAAAGUUUUCGACUAAAGAGAGAUUUACAUCGACAUGACCAGUCACACAGUGGUGAUCGACCAUUUGCAUGUACAGAAUGCAGCAAAAGAUUCCGCUGGAACUGGGACCUACAGAAACAUAUGCGAAUACAUAGUGGUGAGAAACCUUUCUCAUGUGCGAUUUGUGGCAAAUUUUUUAGACAAAAUAGUACACUUCAGGCACAUAUAAGGACUCAUACUGGAGAAAAACCCUACACAUGUACUACAUGCAGCAGAGGUUUCAGUCAGAGUUCAGACUUAACCAAGCACAUGAGAACUCAUACUGGUGAAAAAGCUUUCUUCUGUGAAAUGUGUGACAAAUCAUUUAGCUUAAGACACAACUUGCAGAAACAUAUGCAAAAACACAACAAGUAUAGACACAAAUAUAAAUCAGAUGCACAGGAGCUUGAGAAGACAGUUAAAAAAGAGGAACAAGUUGAUUAAUUUUGUACCAGUAUGAAAAUAUUAAAAAGCUUCAUAAAUGAUCAUUUUGAAUUAGCAUGUUCCCUGGACUUAGUGAAAUAACUUUUGUCUUUUAUAAAUGUAUACACAUGUAUGUUUAAAUACAUGUUUAUUUGUAAGAGUCAAAUCUAUGUCGGGCCUCAAUUUAAGUCCUUUCCUCAAAUAUGUGUCCUUUCCUCAGAUCUAUGUCCUGUGACGUCAUUAUACUCAAUUGCAAAUAUGUGGCCCUUUGUUUAUUCAAAUCUGUAUCCUAUUUAUAAGAUAGGCUUUAAGUAAUGUGGCUUGACUUGGGACUGUGAGGCACAAAUAGAAUGCAGUGGGAUUAUAGAACUACCCUUACCUAAUCUGGGACCUUUGUGUAACAACACAACAUAAUAACAAACAGUAAAAUCAGUUGGAAUGUGCUUGACAGGAGACAUAAGACACAAAUCUAUUUUACCAUAAAUUUGCUUCAAGACUUUGACACUGUGCAUUUAACAAACUCUAAAAAAGCAUUUCUGACUAAUGUGUCUUUAUUGAGAGAAAAAGGGUUUCUGACUGUUAUCACUAUUUAACUAUUUCCUUGAUUUAAAAAUAAUUUUUAAAAACAUUGUUAAUAAGGCUAAUUAAUAGCUAAAAGAUAACUUUUUUUUACAUAAUUUUAAUAAGUGUAAGCACCUUUUUAGAGGAGGUUAACAUGGUGUCUCAGAUUCCCGCAUCCCUCCCUUUUACUCCAGAUGAAAACUGGUCAAAGCAACUUGACCAGUAUUUCCCUAUUUUAUACCUGUUCCCGCUUCCCACCCCUCAUUCCCUUGUUCCCAUAUCCCCAUUGAGCACCUUUAUGUACAUAGUUUAACAUACAUGAUUUUUUCGAUGUCCUUAACUAAAUAUGAAAUCUUUGACAACAAAAAUAUUGCCUAGAAGACGUUUUGUUAUUUCUGAAGUCAACAUGACUUGUUGAAAAGGACACAGAUUUGAGAAAAGAAAGGACAUAGAUUUGUGACAUCUAUAUAUGAUGCAAUAAAGAAAAGAACACAUAUCUGAAACUGGACAUAGAUUUGAGUCUUACAUAUAUAUGAUCAUGCAUUACAGUAAUUGAUUUGUUUGGUGUCCACUUGUAUGACUAUGUUAUGGUCGCCAUUAUGAAAGGAAACUUUUUCUUACAGUUGUACAUGUAUAUAGUCCAAUGAACAGAUAUCAAUUAAUCAGACCUGUGUUAAUCAAAGUUGGAAUUGAAUACUGGUACUUUUAAAUUAACUUAAAAAUUAUUUCAAUCAAGCCACUUCCAAAACAGAAAAAACCCAAAAUAUAUAAUUAUUAUACACUCUUAUUAAUUUGUCAUUAUUAACCUUGUUUACUUUGUAUCACAUGCUACUUUAAGAGAGAUGACAUUCCUAAGAAAAAGUACUCUCUAAACAUUUUCAGGAUUAAACAUGAUGAAAAUGAAUUUUAUUUUUUUCAUACAUGUCAUAUUCAAGAGAAAUUAUGCACAGUACUUCAAAGACAUUACUAUAUUGAAAUAAGAUUUAGGGUAUUAAUGAAAGGAAUAGGGACAAUGAGGCUCAUAUUUGGCCCAAAUUAAAUUUUAAUUCCAAAAUCUUAAAAUUUGCCCUUACUUGGCUUAGGUAAAAUUUGUCCAGAAAAUGAAGACAACUUUAAUAUUUCCUUGUUUUGUAUCAACUUUUCAAUACAUUUUGCAUUUUUUUAUGCCCCCGUCGUAGCAGAGGAGGCAUUAAGGUUUAUCCUUGUCCGUCUGUACGCCAGUCCGUACGUCUGUACACCCUUACAUCCAUACGUCCCGAAAUUGGUUUCCAUUCUCUAACUUUAGUUUGCCUCAAACAAAUGCUAUGAAACUUAUACACAAUGCUUAUUACAACAAAACACAGAUCAAGUGUAAAUUUGGGUGACAUCACUUUUACCUUUCUAGAGUUAUGUCCCUUUACAAAUGGAAAAAUUGCUGAAUUUUUCGUUUCCGUUCUCUAACUUCUAGUUUUCCUUGAUACCAAAUGUUAUGAAUCUUAUACACAAUGCUUAUUACCAAAAAACUCAGAUCAAGUACGAAUUUGGGUAGCGUCACUUUUACCGUGCUUGAGUUAUGUCCCUUUAAAACGUUAUAUGCAAGCAGGCGCAUCAUCUGUGUCCAAUGGACACAUUCCCCAUUUAUUUUAAGGUGAGUUAAAUUUGUAUCUCAAUUGGGACUCUGUAUUUAUAUAUAUAUAUUAUAAGUUCAAAUCAGAAAAUUUAUAAUUGAGCAGAAUUAUACAUUGAAUCAGAUACAAAAGAAAUCUUUUGCUUUUUAAAAAAAUUAAACUGAGGACAAAAUGUUUUGUUUUUGCCAGAAUUUUUAGUUAUUUCGAUCUGGAUUUGGAAUUUAGAGGGAAACAACAUUAAACUUGAUGAAGUUUGGAAAGUUAUCCUGAAAAAUGUAAGGCUACAUUUUGGGAAACACACUUUCAGAAGCAUAUCUCAAAGUCUUCUCUUAAAUAAGCACAAAGAAGAAUUACACAAAUUCCCAAUUUAUCUGCCAAUUUUUAACCUCAAUUUUCUCGAAAACAAGCAGGGUAACCAAUGUUUUAUUUUUUGAUUUUUCAAAGAACUUAUCUCUAACUACAACAUAUCUUAAAAUCACAAUAAGCAACAUACAAUUUGAAACCUUAAUUCUUCCUCAUUUAAGGAAUGAUUUGAUAUUUGUUCUGGAUUUUUAAAUUAUUGAGUUAGAGCUAACGUCUCUAUGUAUUUACAUAUCCUAGGCUUUCAAAUAUUUGGGUUUGACUAUUCCUGAUGAAUUUAAAUCCAGAAAAGCGCUUAAUAUGCACCAAAUUUUAAUGUGUUAUUUUCUUUUUUACCAUGUAAUGUAUUUUCAGAUCUGCCAGGCAGUCUCUUUCGUAUCUGACUGAUGAUUUUUUGAAUUUUUAUUAUACCUGCUGAGCAUGAAAUUUUUUAUACGACCGCAAAAAUUGCGGUCGUAUAUUGGUAUGACAUUGUCGGCGUCGUCGUCCGAAGACAUAUUGGUUUUCGCACAAUAACUUUAGUUUAAGUGAAUGGAUCUCUAUGAAAUUUUACCAUAAGGUUCAAUACCACAAAAGGAAGGUUGGGAUUGAUUUUGGGGGUUAGGGUACCAACAGUUUAGGAAUAAGGGGCCAAAAAGGGGCCAACAACAAGCAUUUUUGUAGUUUCCGGACAAUAACUUGUGUGUGUUAGUGUAUGGAUCUCUCUUAAAUUGUACCACAAGGUUCAAUAUCACAAAGAGAAGGCUGGUAUUGAGUUUGGGGUAAUUGCUCUAGUUUUCUAGUUUCCAGACAAUGAUUUGUGUUAAAGUUUAUGGAACUCUCUGAAAUUGUACAUUUUUCCUGAAAAGAAAAUAAUCUUCAAAAUUUCGAGAAAAAAAAUUUGGGGGCGGGUUUCAAAUUUUUUUGGGAUUUCAAAUUUUUUGAAUAUUUCAAAUCUUUUGCAAUUUUUUUUUUAGGGUGGGGGUAUUUAUUUAUUUUUUUUGGAGGGGAGGUUCAUACUUUUUUCUUCCAAGAUUUUUCAAAAUUUCAAAGUUUUUCUAAAAAAAAAAUUAUUUCCCAAAAUUUUUUUGGUUUUUUUUCAAAAAAAUUUCCAUUUUUACAUAGAUUAUUUCUGAUUUAUAUAUAAAAGCAAAAAAUACUGAUAUGGCAGGAUAUACACACCAAACAGGGUUUGUAAAUUAUUAAAUAUAACAGAUUAACUAAGUCAUGUAAGUAUUGUGCAAAAAAAGUUAAAUCACAAAAAUACUGAACUCAGAGUAAAAUUCAAAACGGAAAGUCCCUAAUCAAAUGGCAAAAUCAAAAGCACCAACACAUCAAACGAAUGUACAACAGCACAGUAUUGCGCUAUAGCAAGAAAUCUUCAAUUGAAAAUAAAUACAAAUCUUUUAACCAAUUUAAAUGGGAUUAAUUUAAAGUCUUUAAUUUUUGGGGGUUCUAACCUUGACUUACUAUUUUGGAUAUUGGGCCCCAUUUUUGAAUUGGUCUAUAUUUAGGUCCAAAGGGUCCAAAAUUAAACUUUGUUUGAUUUCAUCAAAAACUGAAAUAUUACGGCUCUAUGAUAUGAUAAAUCUCAUUGUGCAUUUAGAUUUUUUUAUUUUUGGCCCUGUUUUCAAAUUAGUCCACAUUAAGGUUUGAAGGGUUCAAAAUUAAACUUUGUUUGAUUUCAACUAAAAUUAAAUUUUUGGUGUUUUUUAUAUGCUGAAUCUAACCAUGUUGUUAGACUUUGGAUAUCAGACCAUACUAGGUAAAUUAAAUGUUCCAUUUCAAAUUUUUAAGAUCUUUGACCACAUUCAUUUUGUGUCAGAAACCUUUGUGAAGACCAGUAAUGGCGGACAAAUAGCGAUAAGGUGUAUGGUCUUGCAAUGUAUUAAGUUGCAGAAUUUCAAAGGGUUUUAAUUAAUGAUAAAAAGUUUUUCUUAUAUUAACAAAAAAUAGUUUAUAAAAUUCAUAUUGCAUGUAUAGUCUUGAUAUUUGUAUUUAAAUUAUUAAAUUCUUACUUUGUACAUUGAAUAUGCAUGUUUACUGAACAUGUUGAAGAUGUGAUAAUGUAAAAUGAACCUUGAAGACAUUUUUUUCUUUUAUCUUUUUUUUACAUUUCAAAAGAUUUGUUAGAGUUGUAGUAUAUGAAAGACUCUAAGCAUGUUUAGAUCUUAUAUACACAACUACACAUGUAUAAGUGAAGAGAAUUUAUGCAUUUUAAUUUGAUUAUAUAUAUCUUAAUAGCUA